AGGACGAACGCUGGCGGCGUGCCUAACACAUGCAAGUCGAACGAGGUCCAACCGGUAGCAAUACUGGUGAAGAUCAAGUGGCGAACGGGUGAGUAACACGUGACUAACCUACCCUCGAGUGUGGAAUAACAUCGGGAAACCGAUGCUAAUACCGCAUAACAUCGGCGCUUUUAAGAGAUGCCGAUCAAAGGAGCAAUCCGCUUGAGGAGGGGGUCGCGGCUGAUUAGCUAGUUGGCGGGGUAACGGCCCACCAAGGCGAAGAUCGGUA
This 268-nucleotide ribosomal RNA is filed under the name uncultured bacterium. RNAcentral's name for it is "partial small subunit ribosomal RNA". It matches the Rfam family "Bacterial small subunit ribosomal RNA", at positions 26 to 285 of the family's 1533-position model. The record is from RNAcentral.